GAAAUGCGAUAAUUAAUGUGAAUUGCAGAAUUCAGUGAAUCAUCGAGUCUUUGAACACACAUUGCGCCCCCUGGUAUUCCGGGGGGCAUGCCUGUCCGAGCGUCAUUGCUGCCCUCAAGCACGGCUUGUGUGUUGGGCUUCCGUCCCUGGCAACGGGGACGGGCCCAAAAGGCAGUGGCGGCACCAUGUCUGGUCCUCGAGCGUAUGGGGCUUUGUCACCCGCUCCCGUAGGUCCAGCUGGCAGCUAGCCUCGCAACCAAUCUUUUUAACCAGGUUGACCUCGGAUCAGGUAGGGAUACCUGCUGAACUUAAGC
Molecule: unclassified non-coding RNA, 314 nt
Filed under: plant metagenome
Description: partial contains 5.8S ribosomal RNA, internal transcribed spacer 2, and large subunit ribosomal RNA
Rfam family: 5.8S ribosomal RNA (bases 1-105)
Source: RNAcentral